This 507-nucleotide ribosomal RNA is filed under the name Haloarcula sp. E1. RNAcentral describes it as "bacterial SSU rRNA". It matches the Rfam family "Archaeal small subunit ribosomal RNA", at positions 63 to 572 of the family's 1478-position model. The record is from RNAcentral. Lineage: Archaea; Methanobacteriati; Methanobacteriota; Halobacteria; Halobacteriales; Haloarculaceae.
CGGCUUAGACCCGUGGCAUAUAGCUCAGUAACACGUGGCCAAACUACCCUACAGACCGCGAUAACCUCGGGAAACUGAGGCCAAUAGCGGAUAUCACUCUCACGCUGGAGUGCCGAGAGUGAGAAACGUUCCGGCGCUGUAGGAUGUGGCUGCGGCCGAUUAGGUAGAUGGUGGGGUAACGGCCCACCAUGCCGAUAAUCGGUACGGGUUGUGAGAGCAAGAACCCGGAGACGGUAUCUGAGACAAGAUACCGGGCCCUACGGGGCGCAGCAGGCGCGAAACCUUUACACUGCACGACAGUGCGAUAGGGGGACUCCGAGUGUGAGGGCAUAUAGCCCUCGCUUUUCUGUACCGUAAGGUGGUACAGGAACAAGGACUGGGCAAGACCGGUGCCAGCCGCCGCGGUAAUACCGGCAGUCCAAGUGAUGGCCGAUAUUAUUGGGCCUAAAGCGUCCGUAGCCGGCCGGACAAGUCCGUUGGGAAAUCGACGCGCUCAACGCGUCGGCG